Non-coding RNA from Cicer arietinum (chickpea), 1469 nucleotides. The record is from RefSeq and is a predicted model, not a curated record. Lineage: Eukaryota; Viridiplantae; Streptophyta; Magnoliopsida; Fabales; Fabaceae.
AGUUCAGUAAGCAAACAACACAAAAGUAAAAGUAAAGGGGGAUAGAAACAAAAACCCUUCGCCGUUCGCUCUAAAACCUUCAUCGCCGUUCGCAAUCAAUCAACGCCGUUCGCCCUUGACUGCCACUUCAAAUCACAGGUUAUGUCAUUCUCUCUGGUUCUUCUGUCGUUCGUGUUCUCUCUCUCAUUCGAUCUCUGUUCUUUUUUUCUCUGUUUUACUCCCAUUCGUUGUUGUUAUCUCGUUUGCUCUCUAUAAUUUAUUCCAUUUUCAUGAUUAUUUGUUGUGUAUCUGAACGUUUAUUAACUUAUUUGCAAACCCUAAUUCGUUCUCACGUUUUGUGCUUGGAUACUAAUACUAAUAUUGAGUCUAGAGGUACCGUUUUUAUUUUGCUUGGAAUCUGAUUUUUUUGACAGUUAAGCUAUGUUUGGAUAAAUGACGGGGGUUGAAUGGGAUAGCAUGAAAUGAAUAUAUCAUACCAUUGUUUUGGUAUUUUAUGAAAUAUUGAAGGAAAGAAGAUUUGUUGUCCUGGCAUCUUCUUUUUUAUCGAGCCAAACUAAGGAACAUGUUACUCGUGAACAGGAGCAACUCAUCGUCUUCGUCAAAAUGGUUUGCUAGCUUACUGCCAAUGCACUCAACAAAGCUGAUGAAGAAACUAUCAAAAAGUUGAUUUACCCUGUUGGGUUUUAUAUAAGAAAAGCUAGCAACUUGAAGAAAAUUGCUUAUAUUUGUCUCACAAAGUAUGAUGGAGACAUUCCUAACUCGAUUGAAGAACUACUCUCACUUCCAGGCGUAGGUCCUAAGAUUGCUCAUUUGGUUAUGAUUAUUGGAUGGAACAAUGUACAAGGGAUAUGUGUAGAUACUCAUGUCCACCGCAUUUGCAAUCGUCUUCGAUGGGUUUCGAGAUCAGGCACAAAACAGAGAACUUCCUUACCGGAAGAAACAAGAAAGGCGCUGCAACGGUGGCUUCCAAGGGAAGAAUGGGUUGCAAUAAAUCCUCUUUUGGUAUGCAUAGAUAACAGCAUUUGAGGAGCGAGCAAAAGCGGCAGAACACGAAGCACGAGAGGCGCGAGAGGAGCUAAGGAAAGUUGAGCAACGUUGACAAGAGGAAGUUCAACAAACAGAGCAACGCACUACAUAACUACAGAUGCAACUAGCAACAUUGGCAAAAAAUGUUGCUUCCAUACAGGUUGAGUCAUCCUGUCGUCGUCGCCAUCCAGAUUAUGACGAGGAUGAGUCUAACGAUGAUGACGGCGAGGAGUACUACUGGUUUCAGUUUCAGUUUCGUAUAGUAGUUAUGACUACUUAUUUUGUUUAGACUUGUAGGCAUUAUCUAUAUAUAUUUCUACGAUAGUGUCGUUAUGUGUAUUUUGAAACUUAUGGCAGUAAUAAUGUGCUUAUUUUGAGAAUCAUGGUAGUGUAAAUUGUCCUUAUUUUGAGACUUAUGGAAGUCAGAAUGUGUAUUUUGAAAA